RNAcentral lists this ribosomal RNA (266 nucleotides) under Clostridioides difficile. Its description in RNAcentral is "partial 23S ribosomal RNA". It matches the Rfam family "Bacterial large subunit ribosomal RNA", at positions 1595 to 1875 of the family's 2925-position model. Lineage: Bacteria; Bacillati; Bacillota; Clostridia; Peptostreptococcales; Peptostreptococcaceae. The record is from RNAcentral.
UGAUUUCACACUGUCAAGAAAAGUCUCUAUCGAGGUUAAAGGUACCCGUACCGCAAACCGACACAGGUGGGUGAGGAGAGUAUCCUAAGGCCCGCGAGAGAACUGUUGUUAAGGAACUCGGCAAAAUGACCCCGUAACUGAGGGAUAAGGGGUGCCACCAUCCGGUGGCCGCAGAGAAUAGGCCCAAGCGACUGUUUACCAAAAACAUAGGUUUCUGCUAAGUCGCAAGCGAUGUAUAGGAGCUGACGCCUGCCCGGUGCUGGAAG